UUUAUUUAAUAGAUGCUGUAACAAAAGAACAUAUAAUUAGUUCUACUAUACUGUGUGCCCAUGAUACUUACCACAAGCUGUGAGCUCUCUCAUUGGCAUAUCCUGUACCCAGGGCUCUAUUUAGGUUUAGUACUGCCCUAGGCACCGGACCUUAGCCCUCUUUCUUUUUCUUGGCAAUCAGCGCCAUUGCAUUUAAUUUUCUUUGUUCUUUAAAUGGAGGCCCAGCUGUACUAGAACUGAAAGGUAAAGGCAUGGUUAGAGGCUACAUAUAUGUACAGUAUAUGUCACCAUAUCUCUUUUCUCAUUUCAGGGGAGAAAUGGGACACUAUAGAAGCCAGGGUCCACCUUAAAUAUCUUCAUAAACAGCUGCAGGCAAGCUUCCUGGGUAACAAGUACAAAUGCACCUCCAUCUAGGUACCUCCAGAAGCAUUAAGGAACCAAAUUCCACCUCAGUGCCUCUCAUUUCAUCCUUCGUAGUCCAACCAGCGGUGUCUCACCUCCCAUCCAACACAAUUCCACCAGCGGUGCAUCCCUUUCCAACUAAAAUAUGGCAUCAUAAACAGAAGUACC
Xenopus laevis (African clawed frog) is the source of this 570-nucleotide long non-coding RNA. RefSeq lists it as uncharacterized. Lineage: Eukaryota; Metazoa; Chordata; Amphibia; Anura; Pipidae. The record is from RefSeq and is a predicted model, not a curated record. The transcript has 2 exons.